UAACACGUAGGUAAUCUACCUUUGGAUGGGGAAUAACAACCGGAAACGGUUGCUAAUACCGCAUAAUGCAGCGGCACCUAAUGGUGACAGUUGUUAAAGCGGGGGAUCGAAAGACCUCGCGUCUAAAGAGGAGCCUGCGGCGGAUUAGCUAGUUGGUAAGGUAAUGGCUUACCAAGGCUACGAUCCGUAACCGGCCUGAGAGGGCGGUCGGUCACACUGACACUGACAUACGGGUCAG
This 238-nucleotide ribosomal RNA is filed under the name uncultured bacterium. Its description in RNAcentral is "partial 16S ribosomal RNA". It matches the Rfam family "Bacterial small subunit ribosomal RNA", at positions 111 to 334 of the family's 1533-position model. The record is from RNAcentral.